GUGCCAGCCGCCGCGGUAAUACGUAGGUGGCAAGCGUUGUCCGGAUUUACUGGGCGUAAAGGAUGUGUAGGCGGAUAUUUAAGUGAGAUGUGAAAUCCCCGGGCUUAACUUGGGGGCUGCAUUUCAAACUGGAUGUCUAGAGUGCAGGAGAGGAAAGCAGAAUUCCUAGUGUAGCGGUGAAAUGCGUAGGGAUUAGGAAAAAAACCAGUGGCGAAGGAGGUUUUUUGGACUGUAACGGAAGAUGAGGCAUGAAAG
This 255-nucleotide ribosomal RNA is filed under the name uncultured bacterium. RNAcentral's name for it is "partial 16S rRNA". It matches the Rfam family "Bacterial small subunit ribosomal RNA", at positions 505 to 759 of the family's 1533-position model. The record is from RNAcentral.